CGACUGUGGAUGAGACAGAGCUCGUUAUAGGGUCAAGCGAACAAGUGCAUGUGGUGGAUGCCUUGGCGAUCACAGGCGCAUGAAGGACGCGGUAGCCUGCGAAAAGCUACGGGGAGCUGGCAAACGAGCUUUGAUCCGUAGAUGUCCGAAUGGGGAAACCCCG
RNAcentral lists this ribosomal RNA (163 nucleotides) under Burkholderia sp. PSB.1. Its description in RNAcentral is "partial 23S ribosomal RNA". The stretch from base 31 to 163 matches the Rfam family "Bacterial large subunit ribosomal RNA", at positions 1 to 131 of the family's 2925-position model. Lineage: Bacteria; Pseudomonadati; Pseudomonadota; Betaproteobacteria; Burkholderiales; Burkholderiaceae. The record is from RNAcentral.